CGGGAAAAGCUCAAAUUUAAAAUCUGGCAGUCUUUGGCUGUCCGAGUUGUAAUCUGUAGAGGAUGCUUUUGGUACGGCGCCUUCUGAGUUCCCUGGAAUGGGACGCCAUAGAGGGUGAGAGCCCCGUAUAGUUGGACGCCAAGCCUCUGUAAAGCACCUUCGAC
This 164-nucleotide ribosomal RNA is filed under the name Microdochium sp. RNAcentral's name for it is "partial large subunit ribosomal RNA". It matches the Rfam family "Eukaryotic large subunit ribosomal RNA", at positions 99 to 261 of the family's 3401-position model. The record is from RNAcentral. Lineage: Eukaryota; Fungi; Ascomycota; Sordariomycetes; Xylariales; Microdochiaceae.